CGGCGGACGGGUGAGUAAUGCCUAGGAAUCUGCCUGGUAGUGGGGGAUAACGUCCGGAAACGGGCGCUAAUACCGCAUACGUCCUGAGGGAGAAAUGGGGGGAUCUUCGGACCUCACGCUAUCAGAUGAGCCUAGGUCGGAUUAGCUAGUUGGUGGGGUAAAGGCCUACCAAGGCGACGAUCCGUAACUGGUCUGAGAGGAUGAUCAGUCACACUGGAACUGAGACACGGUCCAG
Molecule: ribosomal RNA, 235 nt
Filed under: uncultured bacterium
Lineage: Bacteria
Description: partial 16S ribosomal RNA
Rfam family: Bacterial small subunit ribosomal RNA
Source: RNAcentral